AUUGAACGCUGGCGGCAUGCUUUACACAUGCAAGUCGAACGGCAGCGCGGGCUUCGGCCUGGCGGCGAGUGGCGCACGGGUGAGUAAUGCAUCGGAACGUGCCCAGUAGUGGGGGAUAGCCCGGCGAAAGCCGGAUUAAUACCGCAUACGACCUGAGGGUGGAAGCGGGGGAGCGAAAGGCCUCGCGCUAUUGGAGCGGCCGAUGUCGGAUUAGCUAGUUGGUGGGGUAAAGGCUUACCAAGGCGACGAUCCGUAGCUGGUCUGAGAGGACGACCAGCCACACUGGGACUGGGACGCGGCCCAGACUCCUGCGGGAGGCAGCAGUGGGGAAUUUUGGACAAUGGGGGCGAACCUGGUCCAGCCAUGCCGCGUGCGGGAAGAAGGCCUUCGGGUUGGAAACCGCGUUUGUUCGGGAAGAAAUCCUCUGGGCUAAUACCCAGGGGGGAUGACGGUACCGGAAGAAGAAGCACCGGCUAACUACGUG
This 484-nucleotide ribosomal RNA is filed under the name uncultured bacterium. RNAcentral describes it as "partial 16S ribosomal RNA". It matches the Rfam family "Bacterial small subunit ribosomal RNA", at positions 28 to 507 of the family's 1533-position model. The record is from RNAcentral.